Molecule: ribosomal RNA, 253 nt
Filed under: uncultured Coprococcus sp.
Lineage: Bacteria; Bacillati; Bacillota; Clostridia; Lachnospirales; Lachnospiraceae
Description: partial 16S ribosomal RNA
Rfam family: Bacterial small subunit ribosomal RNA
Source: RNAcentral
UACGUAGGGGGCAAGCGUUAUCCGGAUUUACUGGGUGUAAAGGGAGCGUAGGCGGCGAUGCAAGUCAGAAGUGAAAGCCCGGGGCUCAACUCCGGGACUGCUUUUGAAACUGUGUUGCUAGAUUGCAGGAGAGGUAAGUGGAAUUCCUAGUGUAGCGGUGAAAUGCGUAGAUAUUAGGAGGAACACCAGUGGCGAAGGCGGCCGCCUGGCCUGUUGCUGACGCUGAGGCACGAAAGCGUGGGGAGCAAAUAGG